This 23-nucleotide non-coding RNA is filed under the name Arabidopsis thaliana (thale cress). The record is from RNAcentral. Lineage: Eukaryota; Viridiplantae; Streptophyta; Magnoliopsida; Brassicales; Brassicaceae.
AAAGCGUUAGAUGGUAAGCAGGA